This 230-nucleotide ribosomal RNA is filed under the name uncultured bacterium. RNAcentral describes it as "partial 16S ribosomal RNA". It matches the Rfam family "Bacterial small subunit ribosomal RNA", at positions 562 to 791 of the family's 1533-position model. The record is from RNAcentral.
AAAGGGUCCGCAGGCGGGCGUAUAAGUCAGUGGUGAAAUCCUGCAGCUUAACUGCAGAACUGCCAUUGAUACUGUACGUCUUGAAUUCGGUCGAAGUGGGCGGAAUGUGUAGUGUAGCGGUGAAAUGCAUAGAUAUUACACAGAACACCGAUAGCGAAGGCAGCUCACUAGGCCUGGAUUGACGCUCAGGGACGAAAGCGUGGGGAUCAAACAGGAUUAGAUACCCUUGU